This 364-nucleotide ribosomal RNA is filed under the name Balistes polylepis (finescale triggerfish). RNAcentral's name for it is "partial 12S ribosomal RNA". It matches the Rfam family "Bacterial small subunit ribosomal RNA", at positions 971 to 1527 of the family's 1533-position model. The record is from RNAcentral. Lineage: Eukaryota; Metazoa; Chordata; Actinopteri; Tetraodontiformes; Balistidae.
UCACCCUUCCUUGUUCAACCCGCCUAUAUACCACCGUCGUCAGCUUAUCCUGUGAAGGCCUUUUAAUAAGCAAAAUUGGCAAAGCCUAAAACGUCAGGUCGAGGUGUAGCGUACGGAAAGGGAAGCAAUGGGCUACAUUACCUGCCCCAGGUAACCACGGACGAUUUAUUGAAAGAUAAAUCCAAAGGAGGAUUUAGUAGUAAGAGAAGAAUAGAGAGCUUCUCUGAAACCGGCCCUGAAGCGCGCACACACCGCCCGUCACUCUCCCCAAGCUUCUUUUGACUUAAUAAUUAAUAUACUAAUCCUGCUAAGGGGAGGCAAGUCGUAACAUGGUAAGUGUACUGGAAGGUGCACUUGGACAAAC